RNAcentral lists this ribosomal RNA (794 nucleotides) under uncultured bacterium. RNAcentral's name for it is "bacterial SSU rRNA". It matches the Rfam family "Bacterial small subunit ribosomal RNA", at positions 8 to 796 of the family's 1533-position model. The record is from RNAcentral.
AGAGUUUGAUCAUGGCUCAGAACGAACGCUGGCGGCGCGCCUAAUACAUGCAAGUCGAGCGAGAAGGUGUAGCAAUACACUUGUAAAGCGGCGAACGGGUGAGGAAUGCAUGGGUAACCUACCCUCGAGUGGGGAAUAACUAGCCGAAAGGUUAGCUAAUACCGCAUACGUUUCCGGGACUUCGGUUCCGGAAAGAAAGCAAUACCGUGGGUAUUGCGCUCAUGGAUGGGCUCAUGUCCUAUCAGCUUGUUGGUGAGGUAACGGCUCACCAAGGCUUCGACGGGUAGCUGGUCUGAGAGGACGAUCAGCCACACUGGCACUGCGACACGGGCCAGACUCCUACGGGAGGCAGCAGUAAGGAAUAUUGCGCAAUGGACGAAAGUCUGACGCAGCGACGCCGCGUGGGGGAUGAAGGUCUUCGGAUUGUAAACCCCUUUCGGGAGGGAAGAUGGAGUGGGUAACCACUUGGACGGUACCUCCAGAAGCAGCCACGGCUAACUUCGUGCCAGCAGCCGCGGUAAUACGAAGGUGGCAAGCGUUGUUCGGAUUCACUGGGCGUACAGGGAGCGUAGGCGGUUGGGUAAGCCCUCCGUGAAAUCUCCGGGCCUAACCCGGAAAGUGCAGAGGGGACUGCUCAGCUAGAGGAUGGGAGAGGAGCGCGGAAUUCCCGGUGUAGCGGUGAAAUGCGUAGAGAUCGGGAGGAACACCGAUGGCGAAGGCAGAUCUCUGGGCCGUAACUGACGCUGAGGAGCGAAAGCGUGGGGAGCGAACAGGAUUAGAUACCCUGGUAGUCC